CCUACGGGUGGCAGCAGUGGGGAAUAUUGCACAAUGGGGGAAACCCUGAUGCAGCGACGCCGCGUGAGUGAAGAAGUAUCUCGGUAUGUAAAGCUCUAUCAGCAGGGAAGAAAAUGACGGUACCUGACUAAGAAGCCCCGGCUAACUACGUGCCAGCAGCCGCGGUAAUACGUAGGGGGCACGCGUUAUCCGGAUUUACUGGGGGUAAAGGGGGCGCAGACGGGGAUGCAAGCCAGGAGUGAAAGCCUGGGGCCCAACCCCCGGACUGCCCUUGGAACUGCGUGGCUGGAGUGCAGGAGGGGCAGGCGGAAUGCCUGGUGUAGCGGUGAAAUGCGUAGAUAUCAGGCGGAACACCGGUGGCGAAGGCGGCCUGCUGGACUGCAACUGACGUUGAGGCCCGAAAGCGUGGGGAGCAAACAGGAUUAGAUACCCCGGUAGUC
RNAcentral lists this ribosomal RNA (440 nucleotides) under uncultured bacterium. RNAcentral's name for it is "partial 16S ribosomal RNA". It matches the Rfam family "Bacterial small subunit ribosomal RNA", at positions 338 to 795 of the family's 1533-position model. The record is from RNAcentral.